This 340-nucleotide unclassified non-coding RNA is filed under the name Hevea brasiliensis (rubber tree). Lineage: Eukaryota; Viridiplantae; Streptophyta; Magnoliopsida; Malpighiales; Euphorbiaceae. The record is from RNAcentral.
GGAAGAUUCCCCAGUGGCGCUCAAAGUUACCUGGAGCAAUACUUUUACCAUCCUCAUCGAUAAGCCCAAACAAGUAAACUUCGAUAAAUCCAGGCCGUAGAGGUGUUCCAACGUUGGCUGCAAGCCUGGGUAACAGUCCUUUAUAGAAACGAUAAGCAAGAUUGACAUUGGCAUUUUUGUCACCAUCUGUAGGCCAUCCAACUUCCCCAACUAGAAUGGGCAAAUUGCCAACACCUGCUGCUUUCAACGCUGAAACCAGGGUGUCAAAGUUGGCAUCAAAUACAUUGGUGUAUGAUAAUCCAUUAUCAACAAUUGGGUUACUGGCUCCAUCAAAGAAGGC